GACAGUCCGAUUAUACCGCGGACCGUCCGGCGUAUUUCGCCGGACCAUCCGACCAGAUGCGCAGCAUACAACUCCCCGUUGUACUGCGCUCUUCAAGUGUGCUUCUUCCCCCUUCUCCCCCUUACCACGGCAAGUCCUUGGGAAAUAACUCCGAUGGGCAGAAAAAAGAAGGGGUUAAGAGACCCUCCUGGCCCAACCCUAGACACUCUAAGAUCCUUUUUCAAACCUGCUCUGCUCCCAUUUCGAGUCAAGAGAUAGAUAAAUAGCCACAUCCCAUUGCACUGAUCGGGGGCGCUCGUAGUCAUGCCCGCACACAAAACACUCAGGUCGCACCAUACAUGGCCGGACCACCAGGGUACAACCCCGAACAAUUCGGCCCCAUCACGGACCGUCCGGUGCAUCACACCGGACUGUCCGGAUAUGUUGCGGACCUUCCGCCAUCUUACGUCGGACCGUCCGGAUAUGGCAUGAAUCGGCCGACGUAUUAUGCCGGGCCAUCUGACUCUACACGAGUCCACACGCGGACUGCCCAAGUCGCGCCAUAUAUGACCGAUCCGUCCGGGUACAGCCCUGGACCAUUCGGACCGAUCGCGGACCGUCCAGUUCUUUACGACAGACGGUCUGGGUACGAGACUACCCACGUAGCACCAUAUACGGCUGGACAAUCCGGAUAUACCUUCGGACCAUUUGGCCAGGUCGCGGACCAUCCGACCUCUUACGCCGGACCGUCCGGAUAUGCAUACGCAGAGCCGAGAGCUGUGCAAUACGCACAGUUCCCACAUUCAUCGCAGCAACAUCAUGGUGCCCCACCGGUAACACAUUAUAAUCAUGCCAUACCACCUCAUGGACAUAGGGCUGAAUACUGUUCGGUCACAAGAGAGCCUGAGAGGUAUAGGGCAGGAGCUGGUGACAUUAAUAGGACACCUAGCACACACCUCAAACAUCCCUGGGAGGAAAUCCGACAGAGUGAUGUCAGGCAACCUGAGAUUUCCACCCACAAACUCAAUGAAUGGUCGCUAGACAUGGCGGAGAGGAUCAGAGACGAGGUAGCCGGGAUGUUCAGGGACAAACUCGGUGUUAGUGUGCCAGGUACAGGGCAAUCGUAUCGGAAGCCUUAUAGCCACCGAUUCGACACCGUGUCAUAUCCACAGGGAACUAGAAUACCAGACUUCUCUAAAUUUUCUGGUGAAGGUGGGAAAAGCACACACGAACAUAUAAGCCAAUUCAUAGCACACUUGGGAGAAUUGGCUUAUGGGGAAGCCUACCGCGUUCGUUUAUUCCCGUUGUCCCUUACUGAUACUGCAUUCGCAUGGUACGCAGCCUUGCCACCAAACUCUAUUAACUCUUGGGAAGAAUUAGAGCAGAAAUUUCAUGAACACUUCUUCUCAGGAGAACAUGAAUUAGAAUUGGCUGACUUAGCCUCAGUCCGACAGGGGCCUGAAGAAUCGGUUAAUGACUAUAUCCGGAGAUUCCGGGACACUAGAAACCGAUGUUUUCAGAUCCAUGUCGCAGAAAAACAACUAACAGGGCUGGCUUUCAAUGGGUUGCGACCCUACUUAAAAGAAAAAUUAGAUGACACUCAAUUCUUUUCGCUAGUACACUUGCACCAGCGGGCUAUGACCUGUGAAAGCCGAAGUAAGGAAACAUCAAAAUCGGCUAGCCAUAAGAUGCAUCUAGUGGGAUACGAUAAUUCGGACGAUGAAUCCACGGAUGUAUACACCGCCGAACUAGUUUGGCCAGGACAGGCUAAACCUUCCGCAUGUUCUGCUUUACAGUCGAUUCGAAAGAAUCGACAAGAAGAAGUUAAGUUUACUUUUAAUGUUGCCAAAUACGAUAAAAUAUUUGACGAGUUACUAAAAAACGGCAACAUUAAGUUAACUCAUACUAUUCCUCCUCCUGAUGAAUUAAAGAGGCAUGCUUAUUGUAAGUGGCAUAAUUCCUUUUCUCAUGCCACCAAUGAUUGUAAUGUUUUUCGUCGACAGAUACAAUCGGCCAUAAAUGAGGGCCGAUUGGCUUUUCAGGAGAUGCAAGUAGACACACAACCUUUUCCUGUUAAUACAAUAGAACUCACAUGCAAAAAGGUCUUGGUUCGGCCCGAAAUGGCCGAUAAAGGCCAAGGCAAAGGCAUCGUCAUUAGCGAUCCUCGCAUGUCACUUAUAUCACAAAAGGAGAUUGCUCGAAAGGCUUCGGACGAGAAGGCUAAAAAGUCCGAAGACGCCGGGGCAGGCACAAUUAAUGAACUAAACUCAUCAGCCUAGCCCGAGCAUCGCAAAUGGUCCGGCACCUACGUGCGGACGGUCCGGUGCUCAGAUAAACGGUCCGGCUAACUCAGCCGGACAGUCCACUUAUGACCAAAGGCAUCAGCCUCUACACGAAGCAAGGAAAAAGACGCAAGGUCAAAGCACAUAUAGUCGGCUGAUCAAAGCCGACCCUACUUUUGAUCAGUUGCUCUCCAAAAAUGCUAGCAAAAAGACUGUUCCACGUGAUCGGUCAACAAAGAAACCUCGGUCACCUGCUAAAACGAAAUGGCCGAACAAAAUGGCCCAAAAGGCGACGCGACAAGCAUCGCCUAUUCAUCCUAUGAGACCAGGGUACUUUCCACCUGUUUAUUCAUCGUCGGUAUAUUGUCCUACUCAAAUGUGGAAUGGCAUGACGAUGAAUCCAUGGUACAUGUAUAGUCCCUUUGUCUAUCUAGGCUGGGGGGCACCUCCAUUCUAUUCAUUCUGAUGCAUUGAUCAAAUGGUCGUGGCCAAGAAAGAUACAAUCCAAAACGGCCUUUAUACAUUGGUGCUUUAUUGAAUGAUCUCUAUUUUGAAAAGCCGGUGACUUACAUCAGGUUUAGUUCAUAUGCUUUUGGUUCGUUAACCUUCACCAAAAGGCAGGGGCAUAUGUUGGAAGCCAAAAAAGGUUGUGCGGACGGUCCGGCCCUGAGGCCGGACUGUCCGCGGUGGUGACGCGGACGGUCCGCGCGUGCGCAGAGUCAGUUAGGGUUCCUAGUUUCUCGUGGGAUUUGUUACCUAAAACCGUGGGAUUGACUCAGAAAUCAGUUCGAAGCGGAUCCAGACCUCCCCCUUUAUAUAGAUAAAGGGCUACGACCAAUUGAACCCCCCAACAAUCGAUCAAAUCAAGUCUAUUACUCGUUUUUACCUUAUGCAUUAGGAGUAGUUCUAGUCUAGUUCUCGUUUAGCCCUAGUUUAAUAUUCCAAUCCCCAAAUUCUUCGCUUCUCUUCGACUCUACGUCGAUUAGAGGAGUCUAGGUCGGCCUGCCGAGCCUAGACAACCCCUAGGAUCUCUCCUCCCCGACGGGGUCCCUCCCAGGAGUGAGAUCCAAGCACCGCAGGCGACCUUUCGCCGCCCCUACGCACGCGCGGACCGUCCGGCCCCAGGGUGCGGACCGUCCGGUUAUCAGGCAGGGAACCCUAACCCUGCGCCAGGCCGCGGACCGUCCGCGCCUGUGCAGAGAGCACCGCCGCCGGUUCUUGUUGAGUGUUUGGCACCCGAAAAAGGUGUCAACAAUUACCUUUAUUUAUUCGGUAAUUUACCGUCGAUAAUGAAUUCGGUAUAUUUUCAUAAAAAUAUUAAAUCUGAGCCGAUCUUUGUAAAUUCAUAACAAAUCCAUCUUAACUUAGAAAAAUAUGAAAUAAAUUUUAUUAUUUUUCUAAAAUUAAGAUCUAUCUAAUGAUAUGUAGUUUAGAGUUGUUCGAAUAUUUUAUGGAUCUUAUUUAUAGUUUUUUCCAAUUAUUACUCUUAAUGCAUAUAUCCAUAAUUUGCACGAGGGUCUCAGAAGGACUAGGAUGAUAGAAAUUAUGUUGACUUUCUAAUUAUAUGUAUGUGUGCACGGUGCUUGUCACUUGUAUUUGUGAGUUUAAUGUCUUGUGAGAUCUAUUUACUACGACCGUCUUCUAAGAGGAUUUCAAAUACAAUUAUGUUAUUUAAGGAGUUGGUUACAAGAUAUUCAUCUCCCAAACUGGAUUUACUGAGAUGGUCAAACGUGGUACAUCUCCCAAAACAUAUUAAAUUGGCCCGGCUAUUCAAACUAAAAUAUAUUCUCUAAUUGAUACGCACAAAUUGUUGUAUGAGAUCGAUCUAAUCAUAUACUUAUAUGGUUAGUGUCAUGUUCUAUGGAUUGGUAUGUUUAUCGUUUUGGUAAUUUUUGAUCAUUAUCGAUGCACUUUCGAUCAUAUACUUCAGUUAUUGACACUAUCGAAAUAUCAAUGCCAUUUUCAUCUUCGGCAAUAUCGUAUCGUUUUCAUUUUCGUCAAAAUAAUUUGAAAGUGAAAGUGGUGGAGCCUUUUUUUGAUUGCUUCCGAUCGUUUUCAACCCUAGUUGGUCGAAACAGAGUUCAAGUUCUGAUUUCAACUCUGAUCGUUAGAACUAACUCCACAUCUGCCAACACUCAAAACUGGCCAAGGCCCAAGUAUUAGGAGCGCAAAAUAGUCGCCUUGAAAACCUACUUAUCCAUCUCAAUAUAUAUAUGUAAAUUUCACACCAAACAAACCUUAGAUAUAUGUGUACCUAAAUAAGACCAUGUGUCCAUGAGUCCAUCUCAAUUCACAUGUCACACUUACACAUAUAGAUUAUUCAGGCCAUGUAUUCUGUAUUUAUCUCAGUGAAUUGAGAUGGGUACGUACAUGUAUAUCUAAAUAAGACAUAACAAUGAGACGAUAUACAGUCAAACAGGUUGAAGUUCAUAUCCAUAUCGUGCGAGAGAGAGAAAAGACGAGAGAAUCAGGCCUGUGCAAUAGAUGCACGCGCUGGCAAGACAUGCAUAUGAAUCAUGUCAUCAGCAUGUUGGAUGGAAAAAGGCAUGUUGGUCUUGCUAUUUAUCUAAUUACUAUUUCGAGUACAAUAAACCGCCCAUGCGGCCGAUCGCAGCAUCGACAGCGUGGUUGGUUCACGUGUAAGGAGGGACUUAUAAGAACGAAAAAAAAACUGAGUGGACUUUUGUAAGAUAACGAUUAAUGAACCCAAGAUGUGUCAAUAGUCAAUGCAGGCAAGUUGGGUACAUUUGGUAUAUGCACAGUUACUCAGUUAGACGAAUCGAUGAAGGUCCGUAACAAGUACAAUAAUGGGCUCUAAGUCUUCUUAUAUGGAAGAGAAAGACAUCAAAAAAUAGAGGGGUUGUCUCUCAUGCAAGACAAAAGGAUGAAAGAGACAAGAGAUUUAUCUAAGAGCCAGCCUUAAAGUUAGCUUUAUAGUUUAUAAUAUGAGUGUGUUUAUUGUUAGCUAUACCUAUAGAUGACAUGGUAAAUAGUUAGAGCCAACUAUUAUUAAACUUGCUCUAAAGCGUUCGUGUGCAAACAAAAGCUGAAAAACAUUAAGGCCGGCAUGCAGAAACCACACCGAAAUUCGACGCGUGCAUACAGCUUUAAACGGUCGAAUAUGCCCCAAAACAGAGACCGUAGAUUCAUUAAACACCUUACGACUACUACCACUGCUAAUCUUGCACAUUACAUCCUUAAUACCGUCAUGACUUUGUUCUCCUACUUUUUACUGGCACCCAAUACUAGUACCACUAGCAGAAAGGCAGCAAGAGCAACACACAAAAAAGAGGCCAGGGAUAGGGCCACUCCUCGUCUCCUCCACUCGGGACUUUUUACAAGCAGCUGACGAAGCAGAGCACGUUUCAGCAGCAGCAGUCGGCUGCAGACCUCUCCGGGCCCCCAGCUCCCAGCUGCAAAAACAAGUGCGUGUCAAUCGACCGACGGGAACGGGACCUGCGAUGCCCGAGCGAAAGCUUCACUCGCGAAACGGACGGUCAGGGCCCCCACGGGGACUCACCGUCACCGACGAGGCCGGCACGUCGGAGCUCUUGAGCACGCGCAGCCUCUUGGCGGUGGCCACGAACAUCCUGCGGCGGACAGGGGCGGGACGGCACCCGGGCACGUGAGACGGGAAUUCUAUGAGAGUGACCGGGGUGACGCGGACGUGUUGUUGUGUGUGCGAAGCUGCGAAUGGGAGGGAGGAGGGGAUGCUGGUGCCGGUUUCCACUUACUCCCAGGGGACGUCGCCGGCAAGGACCCUGUCGCCCUCGUCGUCCUCGUACACCAGCGUGUAGUCGCCGCCGAUCACGGGGCCCUCCCCCUCCUCCUCCUCCUCGCCACCCGCCGUGGCCGCUCGGUCCCUCUGAGCUGCGCGAUCGGUGGAAAAAAAAAACUAGCUUGAUGCGACGACGGACAAGCAUGCACAUGGCGGCGACACACGCAGUACGGCGGCGUCCGUUUUGGUUUUGGAGGAGACAAGACAAGGCGGGUACGUACCGGCAAGCAGGCCGCGGAAGAGCUUGCCGACGGCGGCGGAGAGGUCGGCGUAGCCGCCGUACGCCGUGAGGUCCACCUUGCGCCCGAUCGGCACGCCGUCCAUGUUGAUCUUCACGAACAGGCCGUCCUUGGCGCUGCCCUCCUGGCGGGUGUGUUUCCCCGACGACGGCCUGGAGGAGGAGGCGGCCAGGUUCCUCCGGAACGACCGCACCGGCGGCCACCCCACCACCGGCGCCGCGCCCGCUGGCCUGACCCUGGCGGAUUGAAUUGAACGACCAUUAAGAAAAAAAAUGGACCUUUAGACAGUUGCCUUUUAGAAAAGCGAACAGAGAGAACAACAGCAACACCCGGCAGCCCGGCACCACCACCACCACCACCACCCACCUUGCCUUGGAGACAUUGCUCCCACUGGCGGCCUGGAUAGCGUAGGCAGAGGCCUCGGCGGGCUCCUCCCUGGCGGCGUCCAAACCUGAGGCUACCAAACGUCAGAACAUGGAACCACGUAGCCAUUUGCGACAGGAAACAAGAAGUGUACUACUAGCUCCAAUCGUGGCAGACGAACACCUGAAGGCCGGGCGAAGUAGGCCGGGAGGCCGAGGCUGAGCUCGAGGCCGCUGUCCAGGGCCUCCUCUCCGGCUCCGAGCGGGCCGCGCCACGCCAUGAUCGCCGCCGCCCGCGUCCCUGAAGCUCGCGGUCACGGUCACGGGUCACUGGCACGACUCAAGCAGAAGCAGGCAGAGAAGCGAGCAGUGGUUCGGCAAGAGAGGGUGUGUGUAUAUAAACGAGGAUGGCGACCGGGGAGGAAAGGCUGCCCCCGCCUGCCUCAGCGAGAGAGAGAGAAGAGUAUAGGAGAGCGCCAGAGCGGUGAACAGAAGAGGAGGCAGGAAGACGACGGAAGGAAGCACAGGUGCUGCGCCUCGCGGUGCCCGAGGUGACCAAAAGGCGGCAAGGGAACAAGAGGUCAGAAGGCUCCCUCCCU
Molecule: long non-coding RNA, 7239 nt
Filed under: Zea mays
Lineage: Eukaryota; Viridiplantae; Streptophyta; Magnoliopsida; Poales; Poaceae
Description: long non-coding RNA (ZMAY_LNC001411)
Source: RNAcentral